This is a small nuclear RNA of Mugil cephalus (flathead mullet), 161 nucleotides long. RefSeq annotates it as U1 spliceosomal RNA. The transcript has a single exon. The record is from RefSeq and is a predicted model, not a curated record. NCBI's taxonomy places the organism in Eukaryota, Metazoa, Chordata, Actinopteri, Mugiliformes, Mugilidae.
GUAGGUGCCUGGCAGGGGUUACCAUGAUCAAGAAGGCGAUUCACCCAGAGGGAAGCUCAGCCAUUGCACUCCAGGUCAUGCUAACCCUUGCAGAUUCCCCAAAUGUGGGAAUCUCCACUACAUUCAUUAUUACACAGGAUGAGAUGUUACAAUCCCUUGUG